RNAcentral lists this ribosomal RNA (253 nucleotides) under uncultured bacterium. Its description in RNAcentral is "partial 16S ribosomal RNA". It matches the Rfam family "Bacterial small subunit ribosomal RNA", at positions 524 to 776 of the family's 1533-position model. RNAcentral also lists the same sequence under 1 other name. The record is from RNAcentral.
UACGGAGGGAGCUAGCGUUGUUCGGAAUUACUGGGCGUAAAGCGCACGUAGGCGGCGAUUCAAGUCAGGGGUGAAAUCCCGGGGCUCAACCCCGGAACUGCCUCUGAAACUAGAUUGCUAGAAUCCUGGAGAGGCGAGUGGAAUUCCGAGUGUAGAGGUGAAAUUCGUAGAUAUUCGGAAGAACACCAGUGGCGAAGGCGACUCGCUGGACAGGUAUUGACGCUGAGGUGCGAAAGCGUGGGGAGCAAACAGG